CUAAGGAUAUUCAAGAAGCAAUACUAGCCUUACGGCAGUGGCGCUAUUGAAACGGAACAUACAAUUGGUUGUUUAUUCAGUUUUGAGGGAGCAAAUUCUCUCUACUUAUGUUUGGAUUGUACCUUGAAAACUAAAUAAGAGUAAGUAUCAACGACAUCAAAUCAAAAGUGGAAACUCUAUAUUCGUUUAGAGUGGAAACUUAUUUUACGUU
This 211-nucleotide unclassified non-coding RNA is filed under the name uncultured bacterium. RNAcentral describes it as "16S-23S ribosomal RNA intergenic spacer". The record is from RNAcentral.